AUGAAUCAGAGAGGGUUUAUGUUGCAGAAUCUCUCAUUUCCAGCGCCGGAGAAGGACUGUUUUCGAAAGUGGCAGUGGGCCCCAAUACCGCCAUGUCUUUUUAUAAUGGAGUCUGAAUUACACACCAAGAGGUUGACAGCAGGGACUGGGCCCUUAAUGGGAACACCCUCUCCCUCGAUGAAGAAACGGUCAUUGAUGUGCCUGAGCCCUAUAACCACGUAUCCAAGUUCUGUGCCUCCUUGGGACACAAGGAGAAUCACUCCUUCACUCCAAACUGCGUCUAUGAUAUGUUUGUCCACCCCCGCUUUGUGCCCAUCAAAUGCAUCCGCACCUUGCGAGCGGUGGAGGCUGACGAGGAGCUCACGGUCGCCUACGGCUAUGACCACAGUCCCCCUGGCAAGAGUGGGCCUGAAGCCCCCGAGUGGUACCAGGUGGAGCUAAAAGCCUUCCAGGCCACCCAGCAAAAGUGAAAGGCCUGGUCCCGGGGGUCCAGAGACCUGGCACAAGAAACUUGGAUCUAUGCACUACGAUUCUCCGACAAUGGGACAGCCAGGGACUGCUCGUGCUGCACCAUCACAUCCUCUCAGGCUGCGUUAGCAGCGAUGCUCUCGCACACCAGGUCUGACUGCAUUACUCAUACCAGAUUUAAAAUUAGCUAGCCUUGCAGCAACAUCCUACUGAGAGGUUUCGUGGAGCACUCGACCUACGACGGCGUGACGUUCGGUGGUGGUUUGGGUCUAAAUCUGUCCCAAAUUCAGAGAUGCCAAAUGAUCAGACUGAAAACGGGAGAUGGGGCUUUUCGGUCAUGUGUCAUCAGUGGGUUUUUUUUUUUUUUUCCCUCCGGCCAAUGCAGAUUGCAUUCUCACACUUGCAUCUGCGCCGUGUGGGAAAUAGAGAAUGAUUACAUCUGUAUUCUCUAAAUGUAGUAUAAUUUGCCUUCUAACCUUUGAUCUGUAUCUUGCAAUAGACUGGCUUUGUUUUUUUCCUAGUACACAGAAGCCCUCUUUUUGGGUCAUUUCAAUUCUCAGUCCUGUUCCCUGUCUUAGCUAUCCUCCCGGAUGGAUGAUGAGAGAAACCUUCCAAACAGAUUUUGUGUCACUGGGAGUGCGUAGGUCUUUCUGGCUCUUUGUUUCAUUAUUACACCCUAAUAUAAAGUACUGGCUCAUAGAGCUGGGAGUUGUUAUUAUAGAAUUAUUAUUCUCACAUGUAAACAAAGAUAUCUUUGCUUUAAGAUGUGGGAAGAAAUGAAUUUACUUCGUUUGCAUUAAGUUAUGGGAGAGUUGUAAUAUAUACUUUAAGAAAGAAGAGAGGACUAUUAGUAUUUCUAAGCAGUAACUGUGGCAAUUUUGCAAUAUCUUCAAUAGUGUUAGUCAUUUUUUUUCUCCUUGGGGACACAUUAAAUGUACAUAACAUAGCGCAGUCUGGCUUGUGGCACAGUGCA
Molecule: long non-coding RNA, 1441 nt
Filed under: Oryctolagus cuniculus (rabbit)
Lineage: Eukaryota; Metazoa; Chordata; Mammalia; Lagomorpha; Leporidae
Description: lncRNA (ENSOCUG00000031704.1)
Source: RNAcentral